GGGGAUGUAGCUCAGGUGGUAGAGCACUUGCCUUGCAUGCACAAGGCCCUGGGUUCAAUCCCCAGCACCACA
RNAcentral lists this transfer RNA (72 nucleotides) under Marmota monax (woodchuck). Its description in RNAcentral is "tRNA.Ala". It matches the Rfam family "tRNA". From Rfam's summary of the family: Transfer RNA (tRNA) molecules are approximately 80 nucleotides in length. Their secondary structure includes four short double-helical elements and three loops (D, anti-codon, and T loops). Lineage: Eukaryota; Metazoa; Chordata; Mammalia; Rodentia; Sciuridae. The record is from RNAcentral.